This is a non-coding RNA of Vicugna pacos (alpaca), 72 nucleotides long. Lineage: Eukaryota; Metazoa; Chordata; Mammalia; Artiodactyla; Camelidae. The record is from the annotation of a RefSeq genome assembly.
GAGGGUAUAGCUCAGUGGUAGAGUACGUGCCUAUCAUCCAUGAGGUCCUGGGUUCAAUCCCCAGUUCCUCCA